AGCUUUUCGCAGUGGCAGUAUGGUAGCCAAUGAGGUCUAACCGAGGUGUGAUUAUUGCUAAUUGAAAACUUUCCCCAAAAUGUCACAUUUAGAUUAGCAACAAUUAAAUUAUUGUAUUUCAAUGGGGGAACAUCCU
Gracilinanus agilis (Agile Gracile Mouse Opossum) is the source of this 136-nucleotide small nuclear RNA. RefSeq annotates it as U4 spliceosomal RNA. The transcript has a single exon. NCBI's taxonomy places the organism in Eukaryota, Metazoa, Chordata, Mammalia, Didelphimorphia, Didelphidae. The record is from RefSeq and is a predicted model, not a curated record.